UGGGGAAUUCUGGACAAUGGGCGAAAGCCUGAUCCAGCCAUGCCGCGUGUCUGAAGAAGGCCUUCGGGUUGUAAAGGACUUUUGUCAGGGAGGAAAUCCCUAGCGUUAAUACCGCUGGGGGAUGACAGUACCUGAAGAAUAAGCACCGGCUAACUACGUGCCAGCAGCCGCGGUAAUACGUAGGGUGCGAGCGUUAAUCGGAAUUACUGGGCGUAAAGCGUGCGCAGGCGGUUUGAUAAGCCAGAUGUGAAAUCCCCGAGCUCAACUUGGGAACUGCGUUUGGAACUGUCAGACUAGAGUGCGUCAGAGGGGGGUGGAAUUCCGCGUGUAGCAGUGAAAUGCGUAGAGAUGCGGAGGAACACCGAUGGCGAAGGCAGCCCCCUGGGAUGACACUGACGCUCAUGCACGAAAGCGUGGGGAGCAAAUAGGAUUAGAUACCCUGGUAGUCCACGCCCUAAACGAUGUCAAUUAGCUGUUGGGGGUUAGAAUCCCUGGUAGCGUAGCUAACGCGUGAAAUUGACCGCCUGGGGAGUACGGCCGCAAGGUUA
This 548-nucleotide ribosomal RNA is filed under the name uncultured bacterium. Its description in RNAcentral is "bacterial SSU rRNA". It matches the Rfam family "Bacterial small subunit ribosomal RNA", at positions 355 to 896 of the family's 1533-position model. The record is from RNAcentral.